RNAcentral lists this ribosomal RNA (1560 nucleotides) under Gekko subpalmatus. RNAcentral's name for it is "16S ribosomal RNA". It matches the Rfam family "Bacterial large subunit ribosomal RNA", at positions 426 to 2925 of the family's 2925-position model. The record is from RNAcentral. Lineage: Eukaryota; Metazoa; Chordata; Lepidosauria; Squamata; Gekkonidae.
CUAAAGACUAGCCUGCACCUUAUACCAUAAAUUAUUAUACAUUAACCAAACCAUUUAACAAAUCUAGUAUAUGAGAUAGAACUAUGAAUUCAGCGCAAUAGCCUAAAUUGUACCCCAAGGGAACUAUGAAAGACUAACUAAACAACUCCAAGCAUAACACAGCAGGGGUAAAACCCCGUACCUUCUGCAUCAUGGUUUAGCAAGCAGUCUGCCGAUAAAGCGUCCUGUAUCUGCCACCCCGAAACCAGUCGAACUACCUAAAAGCAAUCACCAAGGAUGAACCCAGCCCUGUAGCAAAAGCGCGGGAUGACUUUUAGGUAGCGGCGAAACACCAAUCGAGUCUGGUGAUAGCUGGUUGCUCAUCAAAUGAACCUCAGUUCAACUCUAGCUCUACUAACAAACAAUCAACUUUCCACCUAGAAGAUAGACAAUAAGGGUACAGCUUUAUUGUAACUGGCUACAACCAAAAUUAGUGGGACAAACAAACAAACUCACCCGUAGGCCUUUAAGCCGCCAACAACAACUAGUGCGUCAAAGCACCUAUACACUGAUAUAACAAACACACCUGAUCCCCUAACCUCCCACCGAGCCACCCCCACAAACCUGGGGGGAACCUCUGCUAAAACUAGUAAUAUGACAUAUCUCUCCUAUAACAUGCCCUUACACCAACACGGACAAACCAUUGAUAGUUAACAGACUCUAAAAAGCAAAAUAGGACUAAACUAGCCCCGCUACCACAUACACUGUUACCCCAACACAGGAAUGUACACAGGAUGGUAAAAAGUCUCAGAGGGAACUCGGCUAACUUCGCCCCAUCUGUUUACCAAAAACAUAGCCUUUAGCCUCACAUAAGUAUUAAAGGUCCUGCCUGCCCAGUGAAAUUUUAACGGCCGCGGUAUCAUAACCGUGCAAAGGUAGCGUAAUCACUUGCCCCCUAAAUAGGGGCCCGUAUGAACGGCUAAAUGAGGGCAAACCUGUCCCCUUAGACUACUCAAUGAAACUGAUCUAUCAGUACAAAAGCUGAUAUACACCCAUAAGACGAGAAGACCCUGUGGAGCUUUAAACUCAAACACUACCCUUAACCAACCACCCUGGCCCUGGCCAUAAAACACGCUCCAAAAUAGUGUUAGUUUUAAGUUGGGGCGACUGCGGAACAAAACAAAACUUCCAUAAUACAGGCUCCCCCCCAUCAAAGACCUACAAGUCAAAGAAAAACACCAUUGACCCAGUUAAUACUGAUCGCCGAACCAAGUUACCCCAGGGAUAACAGCGCCAUCCCCUUUAAGAGUCCCUAUCGCUAAGGGGGCUUACGACCUCGAUGUUGGAUCAGGACCCCCAGGUGGUGCAGCCGCUACCAAAGGUUCGUUUGUUCAACGAUUAAUGUCCUACGUGAUCUGAGUUCAGACCGGAGAAAUCCAGGUCGGUUUCUAUCUAUGCCAUAGUCUCAUCAGUACGAAAGGACCAAUAAGACUAACGCCCAUGUUAAACCAACACGCGUUACAAACAUACACUGAAAAUAUAUAAAGUCUACCCACACACGUGGACCCUAGACAAGGGAAU